UGUCGUGAGAUGUUGGGUUAAGUCCCGCAACGAGCGCAACCCUUUUCCUUACUUGCCAGCAUUUCGGAUGGGAACUUUAAGGAUACUGCCAGUGACAAACUGGAGGAAGGCGGGGACGACGUCAAGUCAUCAUGGCCCUUACGGCCAGGGCUACACACGUGCUACAAUGGUCGGUACAAAGGGUUGCUACACAGCGAUGUGAUGCUAAUCUCAAAAAGCCGAUCGUAGUCCGGAUUGGAGUCUGCAACUCGACUCCAUGAAGUCGGAAUCGCUAGUAAUCGCGGAUCAGAAUGCCGCGGUGAAUACGUUCCCGGGCCUUGUACACACCGCCCGUCACACCAUGGGAGUUUGUUGCACCAGAAGUAGCUAGCCUAACUGCAAAGAGGGCGGUUACCACGGUGUGGCCGAUGACUGGGGUGAAGUCGUAACAAGGUAGCCGUAGGGGAACCUGCGGCUGGAUCACCUCCUUA
RNAcentral lists this ribosomal RNA (470 nucleotides) under Acinetobacter baumannii. Its description in RNAcentral is "bacterial SSU rRNA". It matches the Rfam family "Bacterial small subunit ribosomal RNA", at positions 1063 to 1533 of the family's 1533-position model. Lineage: Bacteria; Pseudomonadati; Pseudomonadota; Gammaproteobacteria; Moraxellales; Moraxellaceae. The record is from RNAcentral.